Molecule: ribosomal RNA, 249 nt
Filed under: uncultured bacterium
Lineage: Bacteria
Description: partial 16S ribosomal RNA
Rfam family: Bacterial small subunit ribosomal RNA
Source: RNAcentral
AUACGAAGGGGGCUAGCGUUGUUCGGAAUUACUGGGCGUUAAAGCGCAUGUAGGCGGACAUUUAAGUCAGGGGUGAAAUCCCGGGGCUCAACCUCGGAACUGCCUUUGAUACUGGGUGUCUAGAGUGUGGAAGAGGUAAGUGGAAUUCCGAGUGUAGAGGUGAAAUUCGUAGAUAUUCGGAGGAACACCAGUGGCGAAGGCGGCUUACUGGUCCAUUACUGACGCUGAGGUGCGAAAACGUGGGGAGGC